RNAcentral lists this transfer RNA (75 nucleotides) under Paludisphaera mucosa. Its description in RNAcentral is "tRNA-Asp". It matches the Rfam family "tRNA". Rfam says of the family: Transfer RNA (tRNA) molecules are approximately 80 nucleotides in length. Their secondary structure includes four short double-helical elements and three loops (D, anti-codon, and T loops). The record is from RNAcentral. Lineage: Bacteria; Pseudomonadati; Planctomycetota; Planctomycetia; Isosphaerales; Isosphaeraceae.
GCCCUCGUGGAGCAGUCCGGAGUGCUCGCCGCCUUGUCAAGGCGGAGGCCGCGGGUUCGAAUCCCGCCGGGGGCG